UAGAAGCCUUGGGAAGCCUUUGAAUGAAGGGU
RNAcentral lists this non-coding RNA (32 nucleotides) under Homo sapiens (human). The record is from RNAcentral. Lineage: Eukaryota; Metazoa; Chordata; Mammalia; Primates; Hominidae.